AGUGAACGCUGGCGGUAGGCCUAACACAUGCAAGUCGAACGGCAGCACAGUAAGAGCUUGCUCUUACGGGUGGCGAGUGGCGGACGGGUGAGGAAUACAUCGGAAUCUACUUUUUCGUGGGGGAUAACGUAGGGAAACUUACGCUAAUACCGCAUACGACCUACGGGUGAAAGCAGGGGAUCUUCGGACCUUGCGCGAUUGAAUGAGCCGAUGUCGGAUUAGCUAGUUGGCGGGGUAAAGGCCCACCAAGGCGACGAUCCGUAGCUGGUCUGAGAGGAUGGUCAGCCACACUGGAAGUGAGACACAGUCCAGACUCCUACGAGAGGCAGCAGUGGGGAAUAUUGGACAAUGGGCGCAAGCCUGAUACAGCCAUACCGCGUGGGUGAAGAAGGCCUUCGGGUUGUAAAGCCCUUUUGUUGGGAAAGAAAAGCAGCAGGUUAAUACCCCGCUGUUCUGACGGUACCGAAAGAAUAAGCACCGGCUAACUUCGUG
RNAcentral lists this ribosomal RNA (492 nucleotides) under uncultured bacterium. RNAcentral describes it as "partial 16S ribosomal RNA". It matches the Rfam family "Bacterial small subunit ribosomal RNA", at positions 29 to 507 of the family's 1533-position model. The record is from RNAcentral.